UACGGGGGGAGCAAGCGUUGUUCGGAUUUACUGGGCGUAAAGGGCGGGUAGGCGGCCACUGCAAGUCGGUUGUGAAAUCUCCGGGCUUAACUCGGAAAGGUCAAUCGAUACUGCAGGGCUAGAGUGCAGAAGGGGCAACUGGAAUUCUCGGUGUAGCGGUGAAAUGCGCAGAUAUCGGGAGGAACACCAAUGGCGAAGGCAGCUCGCUGGGACGGUACUGACGCUGAGACGCGAAAGCGUGGGGAGCAAACAGG
Molecule: ribosomal RNA, 254 nt
Filed under: uncultured bacterium
Lineage: Bacteria
Description: partial 16S ribosomal RNA
Rfam family: Bacterial small subunit ribosomal RNA
Source: RNAcentral